Molecule: ribosomal RNA, 829 nt
Filed under: uncultured bacterium
Lineage: Bacteria
Description: bacterial SSU rRNA
Rfam family: Bacterial small subunit ribosomal RNA
Source: RNAcentral
AGAGUUUGAUCCUGGAUCAGNAUGAACGCUAUCGGCAGGCCUAAUACAUGCAAGUCGAACGGGAUUCCAAGUAGCAAUAUUUUGAUGAGAGUGGCGCACGGGUGAGUAACACGUAUGCAAUUUACCUUUAACUGGGGAAUAGCCCUCCGAAAGGAGGAUUAAUACCGCAUAAUAUAUUUGAAAUGGCAUCAUUKUAAUAUUAAACCUAGGGGGUUAAAGAUGAGCAUGCAUCCGAUUAGCUAGUUGGUGUGGUAACGGCUCACCAAGGCAACGAUCGGUAGGGGGUCUGAGAGGAUGAUCCCCCACACUGGUACUGAGACACGGACCAGACUCCUACGGGAGGCAGCAGUAAGGAAUAUUGGACAAUGGAGGCAACUCUGAUCCAGCCAUGCCGCGUGAAGGAUUAAGGCCCUAUGGGUUGUAAACUUCUUUUAGACGGGACAAAACCCCUUUACGUGUAAAGGGUUGAUGGUACUGUCAGAAUAAGCAUCGGCUAACUUCGUGCCAGCAGCCGCGGUAUACGAAGGAUGCAAGCGUUAUCCGGAAUUAUUGGGUUUAAAGGGUGCGUAGGCGGACUAAUAAGUCAGUGGUGAAAGCCUGCAGCUUAACUGCAGAAUUGCCGUAGAUACUGUCAGUCUUGAGUACAGUUGAAGUAGGCGGAAUGUGUCAUGUAGCGGUGAAAUGCUUAGAUAUGACACAGAACACCGAUUGCGAAGGCAGCUUGCUCAGCUGUAACUGACGCUGAGGCACGAAAGCGUGGGGAGCAAACAGGAUUAGAUACCCUGGUAGUCCACGCCCUAAACGAUGAUAACUCGCUGUUGGCGAUAUA